This 30-nucleotide transfer RNA is filed under the name Askidiosperma alboaristatum. RNAcentral's name for it is "partial tRNA-Phe". The record is from RNAcentral. Lineage: Eukaryota; Viridiplantae; Streptophyta; Magnoliopsida; Poales; Restionaceae.
GGUCAGGAUAGCUCAGUGGUAGAGCAGAGG